Molecule: small nuclear RNA, 118 nt
Filed under: Oryza meridionalis
Lineage: Eukaryota; Viridiplantae; Streptophyta; Magnoliopsida; Poales; Poaceae
Description: snRNA U5
Rfam family: U5 spliceosomal RNA
About the family: U5 RNA is a component of both types of known spliceosome. The precise function of this molecule is unknown, though it is known that the 5' loop is required for splice site selection and p220 binding, and that both the 3' stem-loop and the Sm site are important for Sm protein binding and cap methylation.
Source: RNAcentral
AGCUGCGCAGUGGGCACAAAGCGAACUAUUCUUUCGCCUUUUACUAAAGAAUACCGUGUGCUCGCUGCAAAUAGCAGCAUACUCUAAUUUAUUGAGGGGAUUUCCAGCAUUUGGAAAC